CCGGCGACCGGCGCACGGGUGAGUAACACGUAUGCAACCUGCCCGUGGCAGGGGGAUAAGCGGGGGAAACCCCGUCUAAUACCGCGUAACGCGGCCUUGGGGCAUCCCAAGGCCGCCAAAGGGAGCAAUCCCGGCCACGGAUGGGCAUGCGGCGCAUUAGCUAGUCGGCGGGGUAACGGCCCACCGAGGCGACGAUGCGUAGGGGUUCUGAGAGGAAGGCCCCCCACACUGGUACUGAGACACGGACCAGACUCCUACGGAAGGCAGCAG
RNAcentral lists this ribosomal RNA (270 nucleotides) under uncultured bacterium. RNAcentral's name for it is "partial 16S ribosomal RNA". It matches the Rfam family "Bacterial small subunit ribosomal RNA", at positions 88 to 354 of the family's 1533-position model. The record is from RNAcentral.